Molecule: ribosomal RNA, 413 nt
Filed under: uncultured microorganism
Description: bacterial SSU rRNA
Rfam family: Archaeal small subunit ribosomal RNA
Source: RNAcentral
GCGCAGCAGGCGCGAAUCCUCUACAAUGCGCGAAAGCAUGAUAGGGGGACUCCAAGUGUCUCUCUAAAGAGAGACUUUUGUAGUAUGUAAAAAGUACUACGAAUAAGGGGUGGUCAAGACUAGUGCCAGCCUCCGCGGUAACACUAGCAGCCCGAGUGGUAGUCAUUUUUAUUUGGCUUAAAGCGUCCGUAGUCUGAUUAGUAAGUUCUCUGUGAAAUCCUGUUGCUUAACAAUAGGGCUUGCAGAGAAUACUACCAAUCUUGGAGCCAGGAGGGGUUAGGGGUAUUCCGGUGGUAGCGGUGAAAUGCUAUAAUCCCCGGAGGACCACCAAUGGCGAAGGCACCUAACUGGAAUGGGCUCGACGAUGAGGGACGAAAGCUAGGGGAGCAAACCGGAUUAGAUACCCCGGUAAU